AACCUGCCUUGUAGCGGGGGAUAACUAUUGGAAACGAUAGCUAAUACCGCAUAACAAUGGAUGACACAUGUCAUUUAUUUGAAAGGAGCAAUUGCUCCACUACAAGAUGGACCUGCGUUGUAUUAGCUAGUAGGUGAGGUAAUGGCUCACCUAGGCGACGAUACAUAGCCGACCCGAGAGGGUGAUCGGCCACACUGGGACUGAGACACGGCCCAAACUCCUACGGGAGGCAGCAUG
RNAcentral lists this ribosomal RNA (237 nucleotides) under uncultured bacterium. RNAcentral's name for it is "partial 16S ribosomal RNA". It matches the Rfam family "Bacterial small subunit ribosomal RNA", at positions 123 to 353 of the family's 1533-position model. The record is from RNAcentral.